AGUGAACGCUGGCGGUAGGCCUAACACAUGCAAGUCGAACGGCAGCACAGUAAGAGCUUGCUCUUACGGGUGGCGAGUGGCGGACGGGUGAGGAAUACAUCGGAAUCUACUUUUUCGUGGGGGAUAACGUAGGGAAACUUACGCUAAUACCGCAUACGACCUACGGGUGAAAGCAGGGGAUCUUCGGACCUUGCGCGAUUGAAUGAGCCGAUGUCGGAUUAGCUAGUUGGCGGGGUAAAGGCCCACCAAGGCGACGAUCCGUAGCUGGUCUGAGAGGAUGAUCCGCCACACUGGAACUGAGACACGGUCCAGACUCCUACGGGAGGCAGCAGUGGGGAAUAUUGGGCAAUGGGCGCAAGCCUGAUCCAGCCAUACCGCGUGGGUGAAGAAGGCCUUCGGGUUGUAAAGCCCUUUUGUUGGGAAAGAAAAGCAGCAUGUUAAUCCCCCGCUGUUCUGACGGUACCCAAAGAGUAAGCACCGGCUAACUUCGUG
RNAcentral lists this ribosomal RNA (492 nucleotides) under uncultured bacterium. RNAcentral describes it as "partial 16S ribosomal RNA". It matches the Rfam family "Bacterial small subunit ribosomal RNA", at positions 29 to 507 of the family's 1533-position model. The record is from RNAcentral.